CAAAGGUGGUGGCUUUUGGCAGCUGAUCUGUUUGCAUUACAAAGACCGUUACUUACAGUUCUUUUUCAAAAGUAGUCAAGCUCAGUACUUCACAGGUAAAUUUCGAAUCAUGUUAUUAACAACUUUCUGCCAUAGGCUUGCACAACUGGUUUUAAACUGCUUAUUGUUGUAAGGCAGUUUGCGACUACUUUAUGACAGGGCCAAUUAGAAAUAAUCUUGGGAAAAUGCUUCUAAAAUGCUGCGUUAUUAAAACACUCACAUAACAGUAUUCAUUUGGUUCUGUCACUAAGUAGCUGUCUGAGGGAUUUCUUGUGUUCUCUGAGUUUAAUAGUCACUGGCCCUGGGAAAACAAGCUAGAGGAGAAUUUUAGCUGCAACCCAGCUCUUGGAAGUUUUUUUUUUUUUUUUUAAUUUAAGUUUUAAAUUCAAACAUGACAAGAUUAAAAAGUUUAUGUCAUAUCAUUAAUUGCUAGUGGGAGAGUUGGUAAUAACUAUAGAUGCUAAUCACUUUAAUAAUUGGUGGAAAGCUAUAAACAAACCAUUUAGGGAAAGGAAUGUGCAAAAAUAUUAAUAAACACCUUCCCAAUUAGUUCAGGAAAAAUAACUUGCAAAAUAUAAUGCAGGAUGUUUCUUAAAUCUUUGUCUUCAACGAAAAAAAAACUAAGUACAUAUAUAACCACACACACAAACAGAGAUGUGAGUGAGAUUUACUGGAAUGGAAGAAUUUCUAACAAGUAUAAUUAAUAUAUUCACUGAAUAAAUAGCUCAAAUAUAAUUAAUUUAUGCAUUUAUCAAACCUGCUCCAAUGAAAAAAAUUCCUUCCCAUAAUUUCUUUGGAGGUAAUGCCUUCGUGAAGACAAUAAUAGAUUUAAUAUCAUUGAAAUUCAGAAUCUAUGGACUUCCUGUCAGGGCUAGAUAACUUGUAUAGUAAUAAUAGAAGUGUACUUAGUUCUUAUUUUAAUUCUGGGAGAAUUAGGAAGGUAUCUGAAAACUGUUGCAUGAAUUUAAUAGUCUUUGAAAGGAACUCAAAUAAUGGAUUUUAGAUCUUAUUUUUAGAAAGCACAUAGUUAUAUAUAAUAGCUGCUCAAUGUAUAUUAUUUUGGUGUAUUGAAUUAUCCUUGAAAUAUAUGACCUAUAAACAAAGUUAAAUUAGCAUUGGCUGACAGGAGUCUGAAGUUGAGGAUGUUGAACAUUCUAUGGAAUAGCUUGAAAACUGUUUAGGAGCUUUAAAUAUGAAGUUAUCACCAUCACUAAUUCAUGGCAAGUGGGUUUGUUUGAAAAUAAUGGGAGAAAAAUAAUUUGGUAGGUCUUCAUCUUUAGAGUUUGUAGUAUAUGCCUCUUGAGUGUCUCAGAUGGUGAAAAUACCUAGACAGCAUGCAAGUAGGAAUUAAUUGACAAAUUUGUAUUUGCAUUGUUUCAUAAAAUAACUCUGUGACAAUUUGUGGAUACUUAGAUUAAUAUAAAAAAGUAAAAAGUUUAGCUGUCCCCAAGUAAGGUUACUGAGUUACUUAGAUUUUCACACUGAAGACUCAUGUUCAAUGAUAGCCUAAAAUCUGAGUUAGCAGAUAUGUUAUGGGACACAAGUGAUUCAAACAGCACAGUACAAAUACUGCAUAUAUUUCUGCCAAAUUCGUCUCAGAUGGACUAGCUGCUAAGGAAGAAUCCAUAGCAUGACUGAGUUACAGAAAGUGUGUUACCUUUCCAAUACUAAUUCCUCCAUUUACACACUGUAUUCACUGACAAGAGAGAGAAGUUGUAUUUCUUUCGUUUUUCUGGACUUCAGCCUUAAGGUGCAUAUUGCCAAUUCAAAAUAUAUGAUGUGAACAAUGUUUAUUUUAACCAAUAAUUAUUAUUAAGGCAAAAUUAUUUUCUUAGCCAAUAGAAAUUGCAAUUUGGCUGUAUUUAAGCUAAAUUUAGCACCAUUUUAUUAGAGAUUGUUUAAUUCAAUUUUGAGUUUUCAAAUUGCAUUUUAUGCUAUAAAGAGCACUUCUGUAUAAAGUGUAGUUUGAAAAGAGAAAAAUAUUUAUGCUUUUAUCAUUUUAAGUGAUCAAAUACUGCAGUGGCAGAUAUUAGAAUAUCAUGUGCAUCAAUACAUUAUUAACUUAAUCUAAUGCUCAGAGUCAUUACCACAUUCAUGGGUGUCUUUCUGAUAUCUCUCCAGUCCACUGGAUUUUGAAGUGUGAUUAUGUAAAUUUUCUACUGAUAAAUAAAUGACUAUAAUUGUACUUGAAAUACCACUCAAAUUCUUAAGACCAUGGCAUCUAAAUAAUAUAUUAUGCAUUCCUUAAUUAUUUAUCAAGACUAAUUCAAAAUAACUGUAGGGUAAAGCAUACAUUUAUUUUUAAAUAGCCAUCCCCUUCCCCAAUUUUUUCUGUACCAGGUUAAAAAAUAUUCCAGAUGGUGAAAAUAUUGAGAGAUGAGAAAAAGGUUGUUGAGUAGAGUGAGUAAGCAGCAAGUUUAUCCUUCGAAGAAAUAACAGGUUUGCCCAAUAAUACUGUCACUGUAAUGCAAUUUCUGCAGUAUGUGAUCUUAAUGCCAGUUCAAUGGGGGUAUUUUGUUGACAGAGGAAACCAUGUUUAAUGUUACACUUAGUGUAGAAAAUUCUUCACCAUUCCUGGACAAGGAAAAAGGGAAAAGUUAGCAAACAAAAACAUUUUGCCCGUGGGUAUUUUUUUAAAGUUCUUUUGUAAACAUAGUAGGGAAAUUGUAAUCUUGAGUUAGAAAAUUUGACGAAGGGUUACUUAAUCAAGUGAUACUAGAUUCAAAGUAUAGCUCUUCUUCAUUUAAUUAUAGCUAUAGAAAAUCAUAGUAACCGAAUGGUGCCUUUUCAUUGUUUAAUAUCGAAAGGCAGUAUUCAGGACUCUUGAUGCACUGUGCCUUUAAAAGAAGUGUGUGUGUGUGUGUGUGUGUGUGUGUGUGUGUGUGUUUUACCUACAUAAAUUCUAAUUGCAGAAGCUACUCUAAUCACCAUGUAGAAAUCAUCUGAAGCCUCGUAAGUUCAUGAGGUACACACUUUUCUUUUUUCUUCUGCAGACCACACCUUAUCUGGUUGCUAAUGAAAUACAGGAGAUUGAUUGCAAAAAAUCUUCAAGGGAAUAUUUGCUGUACCACAUGUAGUAAGCUCCAUUUGGUGCAUUAGCAUUUAGCCAUUUUAUGCAAAUUUAGAGAAAAUGACUCAUGUAUAUGAUUUAAUAUGCAUCAGCGAUAACUCAUACCACCCUU
RNAcentral lists this long non-coding RNA (3221 nucleotides) under Sus scrofa (pig). RNAcentral's name for it is "lncRNA (ENSSSCG00000062861.1)". The record is from RNAcentral. Lineage: Eukaryota; Metazoa; Chordata; Mammalia; Artiodactyla; Suidae.